CUCUGUGACUCCUACGGGAGGCAGCAGUGGGGAAUAUUGCACAAUGGGCGCAAGCCUGAUGCAGCCAUGCCGCGUGUGUGAAGAAGGCCUUCGGGUUGUAAAGCACUUUCAGUUGUGAGGAAGGUGGUGUCGUUAAUAGCGGCAUCAUUUGACGUUAGCAACAGAAGAAGCACCGGCUAACUCCGUGCCAGCAGCCGCGGUAAUACGGAGGGUGCGAGCGUUAAUCGGAAUUACUGGGCGUAAAGCGCAUGCAGGUGGUUUGUUAAGUCAGAUGUGAAAGCCCCGGGGCUCAACCUCGGAACUGCAUUUGAAACUGGCAGGCUAGAGUCUUGUAGAGGGGGUAGAAUUUCAGGUGUAGCGGUGAAAUGCGUAGAGAUCUGAAGGAAUACCAGUGGCGAAGGCGGCCCCCUGGACAAAGACUGACGCUCAGAUGCGAAAGCGUGGGGAGCAAACAGGAUUAGAUACCCUGGUAG
This 473-nucleotide ribosomal RNA is filed under the name uncultured bacterium. RNAcentral describes it as "bacterial SSU rRNA". It matches the Rfam family "Bacterial small subunit ribosomal RNA", at positions 328 to 793 of the family's 1533-position model. The record is from RNAcentral.